CCUGUUUUUCGAAGCUUUGCAGGUGUGGCUGCCGUGUCACAUGUGUGUCAGUAGGUGGCAGAGAGGACCAAGGCGAUGUCCAUGUUCAGUGUUCUGAUCUAUGAACAUUUGAACAAUUAGUAGCCUAAUAUU
This is a small nucleolar RNA of Psammomys obesus (fat sand rat), 132 nucleotides long. RefSeq annotates it as small nucleolar RNA SNORA17. NCBI's taxonomy places the organism in Eukaryota, Metazoa, Chordata, Mammalia, Rodentia, Muridae. The record is from RefSeq and is a predicted model, not a curated record. The transcript has a single exon.